UACGUAGGGUGCGAGCGUUAAUCGGAACUACUGGGCGUAAAGCGCGCGUAGGCGGUUUUGUAAGUCGGGUGUGAAAUCCCCAAGCUUAACUUGGGAACUGCAUUCGAGACUGCAUAGCUAGAGUAUGGGAGAGGGAAGUGGAAUUUCAGGUGUAGCGGUGAAAUGCGUAGAUAUCGUAAGGAAGACCAGUGGCGAAGGCGGGUCUCUGGACAGUUCCUGACGCUGAGGCACGAAGGCCAGGGGAGCAAACGGG
This 253-nucleotide ribosomal RNA is filed under the name uncultured bacterium. RNAcentral describes it as "partial 16S ribosomal RNA". It matches the Rfam family "Bacterial small subunit ribosomal RNA", at positions 524 to 776 of the family's 1533-position model. The record is from RNAcentral.